This 274-nucleotide ribosomal RNA is filed under the name uncultured bacterium. RNAcentral describes it as "partial 16S ribosomal RNA". It matches the Rfam family "Bacterial small subunit ribosomal RNA", at positions 523 to 796 of the family's 1533-position model. The record is from RNAcentral.
AUACAGAGGGUGCGAGCGUUAAUCGGAAUUACUGGGCGUAAAGCGCGCGUAGGCGGCUUAUUAAGUCAGACGUGAAAUCCCCGGGCUCAACCUGGGAACUGCAUCUGAUACUGGUAAGCUAGAGUUUUGGAGAGGGAAGUAGAAUUUCAGGUGUAGCGGUGAAAUGCAUAGAGAUCUGAAGGAAUACCAGUGGCGAAGGCGACUUCCUGGCCAAAAACUGACGCUGAGGUGCGAAAGCGUGGGUAGCAAACGGGAUUAGAUACCCGGGUAGUCC